Molecule: ribosomal RNA, 486 nt
Filed under: uncultured bacterium
Lineage: Bacteria
Description: partial 16S ribosomal RNA
Rfam family: Bacterial small subunit ribosomal RNA
Source: RNAcentral
AUUGAACGCUGGCGGCAUGCCUUACACAUGCAAGUCGAACGGCAGCACGGGUGCUUGCACCUGGUGGCGAGUGGCGAACGGGUGAGUAAUACAUCGGAACAUGUCCUGUAGUGGGGGAUAGCCCGGCGAAAGCCGGAUUAAUACCGCAUACGAUCUACGGAUGAAAGCGGGGGACCUUCGGGCCUCGCGCUAUAGGGUUGGCCGAUGGCUGAUUAGCUAGUUGGUGGGGUAAAGGCCUACCAAGGCGACGAUUAGUAGCUGGUCUGAGAGGACGACCAGCCACACUGGGACUGAGACACGGCCCAGACUCCUACGGGAGGCAGCAGUGGGGAAUUUUGGACAAUGGGCGAAAGCCUGAUCCAGCAAUGCCGCGUGUGUGAAGAAGGCCUUCGGGUUGUAAAGCACUUUUGUCCGGAAAGAAAUCCUUGGCCCUAAUACGGUCGGGGGAUGACGGUACCGGAAGAAUAAGCACCGGCUAACUACGUG